GGAGAGGUGGCCGAGCGGUUUAAGGCGGCGGUCUUGAAAACCGCUAGGGGUCUAACAGCCCCUCGUGGGUUCGAAUCCCACCCUCUCCG
Molecule: transfer RNA, 89 nt
Filed under: Elusimicrobiota bacterium
Lineage: Bacteria; Pseudomonadati; Elusimicrobiota
Description: Elusimicrobia bacterium tRNA-Ser
Rfam family: tRNA
About the family: Transfer RNA (tRNA) molecules are approximately 80 nucleotides in length. Their secondary structure includes four short double-helical elements and three loops (D, anti-codon, and T loops).
Source: RNAcentral